GUCCACACCGUAAACGUUGGGCGCUAGGUGUGGGGCUCAUUCCACGAGUUCCGUGCCGCAGCUAACGCAUUAAGCGCCCCGCCUGGGGAGUACGGCCGCAAGGCUAAAACUCAAAGGAAUUGACGGGGGCCCGCACAAGCGGCGGAGCAUGCGGAUUAAUUCGAUGCAACGCGAAGAACCUUACCUGGGUUUGACAUAUGCCGGAAAGCCGUAGAGAUACGGCCUCUUUUAGUCGGUAUACAGGUGGUGCAUGGCUGUCGU
RNAcentral lists this ribosomal RNA (261 nucleotides) under uncultured bacterium. Its description in RNAcentral is "partial 16S ribosomal RNA". It matches the Rfam family "Bacterial small subunit ribosomal RNA", at positions 793 to 1055 of the family's 1533-position model. The record is from RNAcentral.